Molecule: transfer RNA, 75 nt
Filed under: marine sediment metagenome
Description: tRNA-Gly
Rfam family: tRNA
About the family: Transfer RNA (tRNA) molecules are approximately 80 nucleotides in length. Their secondary structure includes four short double-helical elements and three loops (D, anti-codon, and T loops).
Source: RNAcentral
GCGGGUAUAGCUCAGUGGUAGAGCAUCUUGUUGCCAACGAGAAGGCCGGGGGUUCGAGCCCCCCUACCCGCUCCA